This 494-nucleotide ribosomal RNA is filed under the name uncultured bacterium. Its description in RNAcentral is "partial 16S ribosomal RNA". It matches the Rfam family "Bacterial small subunit ribosomal RNA", at positions 28 to 507 of the family's 1533-position model. The record is from RNAcentral.
GACGAACGCUGGCGGCGCGCUUAACACAUGCAAGUCGGACGGAAAGGCCUGCUUUCCCUUGUGGAUUGCGGGUACUCGAGUGGCGAACGGGUGAGUAACACGUGAGUGAUCUGCCCCCAACUUGGGUAUAAGCCUGGGAAACUGGGUCUAAUUCCCGAUAGGACUGCAGGGUGGUGCCUGUGGUGGAAAACGAUUUUCUAGUGGUUGGGGAUGAGCUCGCGGCCUAUCAGCUUGUUGGUGGGGUAAUGGCCUACCAAGGCGGCGACGGGUAGCCGGCCUGGGAUGGUGGACGGCCACAGUGGGACUGAGAUACGGCCCAGACUCCUACGGGAGGCAGCAGUGGGGAAUAUUGCACAAUGGGCGGAAGCCUGAGGCAGCGACGCCGCGUGGGGGAUGACGGCCUUCGGGUUGUAAACUCCUUUCGACCGCGAGGAAGCCACCUGGUUGGAAGGGUGGUGACGGUAGUGGUAGAAGAAGCACCGGCUAACUACGUG